GUGCCAGCAGCCGCGGCGGUAAUACAUAGGGGGCAAGCGUUAUCCGGAAUUAUUGGGCGUAAAGCGUGCGCAGGCGGAUUGUUAAGCAAGAUGUGAAAUCCCCGGGCUUAACCUGGGAAUGGCAUUUUGAACUGGCAGUCUAGAGUGUGUCAGAGGGGGGUGGGAUUCCACGUGUAGCAGUGAAAUGCGUAGAUAUGUGGAGGAACACCAAUGGCGAAGGCAGCCCCCUGGGAUAACACUGACGCUCAUGUACGAAAGCGUGGGUAGCAAACAGGAUUAGAUACCCUGGUAGUCCACGCCC
Molecule: ribosomal RNA, 301 nt
Filed under: uncultured bacterium
Lineage: Bacteria
Description: bacterial SSU rRNA
Rfam family: Bacterial small subunit ribosomal RNA
Source: RNAcentral